This 465-nucleotide ribosomal RNA is filed under the name Peptostreptococcaceae bacterium canine oral taxon 065. Its description in RNAcentral is "bacterial SSU rRNA". It matches the Rfam family "Bacterial small subunit ribosomal RNA", at positions 9 to 455 of the family's 1533-position model. Lineage: Bacteria; Bacillati; Bacillota; Clostridia; Peptostreptococcales; Peptostreptococcaceae. The record is from RNAcentral.
GAGUUUGAUUAUGGCUCAGGAUGAACGCUGGCGGCGUGCCUAAUACAUGCAAGUCGAGCGAGAAUCUGAACGACGGAGACUUCGGUCAAAGGAAUUCAGAGGAAAGCGGCGGACGGGUGAGUAACGCGUGGGCAACCUGCCCCAUACAGAGGGAUAGCAGUUGGAAACGACUAUUAAUACCUCAUACUCCGGUUUUAUCGCAUGAUAGAACCGGGAAAGAUUUAUCGGUAUGGGAUGGGCCCGCGUCUGAUUAGCUAGUUGGUGAGGUAACGGCUCACCAAGGCGACGAUCAGUAGCCAACCUUAGAGGGUGAUUGGCCACACUGGAACUGAGACACGGUCCAGACUCCUACGGGAGGCAGCAGUAGGGAAUAUUGGGCAAUGGGGGCGACCCUGACCCAGCAACGCCGCGUGAACGAUGAAAAUCUUCGGAUUGUAAAGUUCUUUUUUUGAGGAAGAAGAAAAG